This 299-nucleotide signal recognition particle RNA is filed under the name Aotus nancymaae (Ma's night monkey). RNAcentral's name for it is "Metazoan signal recognition particle RNA (ENSANAG00000005508.1)". It matches the Rfam family "Metazoan signal recognition particle RNA". Rfam says of the family: The signal recognition particle (SRP) is a universally conserved ribonucleoprotein. It is involved in the co-translational targeting of proteins to membranes. Lineage: Eukaryota; Metazoa; Chordata; Mammalia; Primates; Aotidae. The record is from RNAcentral.
GCCAGGCGCAGUGGCACGUGCCUGUAGUCCCAGCUAUUUGGGAGGCUGAGGCUGGAGGAUCACUUGAGUCCAGGGGUUCUGGGUUGUAGUGCGCUAUGCUGAUCGGGUGUCCACACUAAGUUCAACAUCAAUAUGGUGACCUCCCAGGAGUGGGGGACCACCAGGUUGCCUAAGGAGGGGUGAACUAGCCCAGGUCGGAAAUGGAGCAGGUCAAAACUCCUGUGCUGAUCAGUAGUGGGAUUGUGCCUGUGAAUAGCCACUGCACUCCAGCCUGGGCAACAUAGUGAGAUCCCUUCUCU